RNAcentral lists this unclassified non-coding RNA (253 nucleotides) under uncultured Planctomycetia bacterium. RNAcentral describes it as "contains 16S-23S intergenic spacer region". It matches the Rfam family "Bacterial small subunit ribosomal RNA", at positions 524 to 776 of the family's 1533-position model. The record is from RNAcentral. Lineage: Bacteria; Pseudomonadati; Planctomycetota; Planctomycetia.
GACGAACCGUGCGAACGUUGUUCGGAAUCACUGGGCUUAAAGGGCGCGUAGGCGGCUGACCAAGUCCGGGGUGAAAUCUUUCGGCUCAACCGGAAAAGGGCCUUGGAUACUGGUCGGCUUGAGGGAGGUAGGGGCAUGUGGAACUUCCGGUGGAGCGGUGAAAUGCGUUGAUAUCGGAAGGAACGCCGGUGGCGAAAGCGACGUGCUGGACCUCUUCUGACGCUGAGGCGCGAAAGCUAGGGGAGCGAACGGG